This 301-nucleotide ribosomal RNA is filed under the name uncultured bacterium. RNAcentral's name for it is "partial 16S ribosomal RNA". It matches the Rfam family "Bacterial small subunit ribosomal RNA", at positions 509 to 807 of the family's 1533-position model. The record is from RNAcentral.
CAGCAGCCGCGGGAAUACGUAGGUGGCAAGCGUUGUCCGGAAUUAUUGGGCGUAAAGCGCGCGCAGGUGGUUUAAUAAGUCUGAUGUGAAAGCCCACGGCUCAACCGUGGAGGGUCAUUGGAAACUGUUAAACUCGAGUGCAGGAGAGAAAAGUGGAAUUCCUAGUGUAGCGGUGAAAUGCGUAGAGAUUAGGAGGAACACCAGUGGCGAAGGCGGCUUUUUGGCCUGUAACUGACACUGAGGCGCGAAAGCGUGGGGAGCAAACAGGAUUAGAUACCCCUGUAGUCCCUGUCUCUUAUAC